RNAcentral lists this ribosomal RNA (1422 nucleotides) under Chinaberry witches'-broom phytoplasma. RNAcentral's name for it is "bacterial SSU rRNA". It matches the Rfam family "Bacterial small subunit ribosomal RNA". The record is from RNAcentral. Lineage: Bacteria; Bacillati; Mycoplasmatota; Mollicutes; Acholeplasmatales; Acholeplasmataceae.
CGAACGGAAGUUAAGCAAUUAAACUUUAGUGGCGAACGGGUGAGUAACGCGUAAGCAAUCUGCCCCUAAGACGAGGAUAACAGUUGGAAACGACUGCUAAGACUGGAUAGGAGACAAGAAGGCAUCUUCUUGUUUUUAAAAGACCUAGCAAUAGGUAUGCUUAGGGAGGAGCUUGCGUCACAUUAGUUAGUUGGUGGGGUAAAGGCCUACCAAGACUAUGAUGUGUAGCCGGGCUGAGAGGUUGAACGGCCACAUUGGGACUGAGACACGGCCCAAACUCCUACGGGAGGCAGCAGUAGGGAAUUUUCGGCAAUGGAGGAAACUCUGACCGAGCAACGCCGCGUGAACGAUGAAGUAUUUCGGUACGUAAAGUUCUUUUAUUAGGGAAGAAUAAAUGAUGGAAAAAUCAUUCUGACGGUACCUAAUGAAUAAGCCCCGGCUAACUAUGUGCCAGCAGCCGCGGUAAUACAUAGGGGGCAAGCGUUAUCCGGAAUUAUUGGGCGUAAAGGGUGCGUAGGCGGUUAAAUAAGUUUAUGGUCUAAGUGCAAUGCUCAACAUUGUGAUGCUAUAAAAACUGUUUAGCUAGAGUAAGAUAGAGGCAAGUGGAAUUCCAUGUGUAGUGGUAAAAUGCGUAAAUAUAUGGAGGAACACCAGUAGCGAAGGCGGCUUGCUGGGUCUUUACUGACGCUGAGGCACGAAAGCGUGGGGAGCAAACAGGAUUAGAUACCCUGGUAGUCCACGCCGUAAACGAUGAGUACUAAACGUUGGGUAAAACCAGUGUUGAAGUUAACACAUUAAGUACUCCGCCUGAGUAGUACGUACGCAAGUAUGAAACUUAAAGGAAUUGACGGGACUCCGCACAAGCGGUGGAUCAUGUUGUUUAAUUCGAAGGUACCCGAAAAACCUCACCAGGUCUUGACAUGCUUCUGCAAAGCUGUAGAAACACAGUGGAGGUUAUCAGUUGCACAGGUGGUGCAUGGUUGUCGUCAGCUCGUGUCGUGAGAUGUUGGGUUAAGUCCCGCAACGAGCGCAACCCUUAUUGUUAGUUACCAGCACGUAAUGGUGGGGACUUUAGCAAGACUGCCAGUGAUAAAUUGGAGGAAGGUGGGGACGACGUCAAAUCAUCAUGCCCCUUAUGACCUGGGCUACAAACGUGAUACAAUGGCUGUUACAAAGGGUAGCUGAAGCGCAAGUUUUUGGCGAAUCUCAAAAAAACAGUCUCAGUUCGGAUUGAAGUCUGCAACUCGACUUCAUGAAGUUGGAAUCGCUAGUAAUCGCGAAUCAGCAUGUCGCGGUGAAUACGUUCUCGGGGUUUGUACACACCGCCCGUCAAACCACGAAAGUUGGCAAUACCCAAAGCCGGUGGCCUAACUUCGCAAGAAGAGGGAACCGUCUAAGGUAGGGUCGAUGAUUGGGGUUAAG